AUUGAACGCUGGCGGCAGGCCUAACACAUGCAAGUCGAACGGUAACAGGAAGAAGCUUGCUUCUUUGCUGACGAGUGGCGGACGGGUGAGUAAUGUCUGGGAAACUGCCUGAUGGAGGGGGAUAACUACUGGAAACGGUAGCUAAUACCGCAUAACGCCGCAAAACCAAAGAGGGGGACCUUCGGGCCUCUUGCCAUCGGAUGUGCCCAGAUGGGAUUAGCUAGUAGGUGGGGUAACGGCUCACCUAGGCGACGAUCCCUAGCUGGUCUGAGAGGAUGACCAGCCACACUGGAACUGAGACACGGUCCAGACUCCUACGGGAGGCAGCAGUGGGGAAUAUUGCACAAUGGGCGCAAGCCUGAUGCAGCCAUGCCGCGUGUAUGAAGAAGGCCUUCGGGUUGUAAAGUACUUUCAGCGGGGAGGAAGGGAGUAAAGUUAAUACCUUUGCUCAUUGACGUUACCCGCAGAAGAAGCACCGGCUAACUCCGUG
RNAcentral lists this ribosomal RNA (490 nucleotides) under uncultured bacterium. RNAcentral describes it as "partial 16S ribosomal RNA". It matches the Rfam family "Bacterial small subunit ribosomal RNA", at positions 30 to 507 of the family's 1533-position model. The record is from RNAcentral.